RNAcentral lists this ribosomal RNA (236 nucleotides) under uncultured bacterium. Its description in RNAcentral is "partial 16S ribosomal RNA". It matches the Rfam family "Bacterial small subunit ribosomal RNA", at positions 30 to 263 of the family's 1533-position model. The record is from RNAcentral.
AUUGAACGCUGGCGGAAUGCUUUACACAUGCAAGUCGAACGGCAGCACGGGGGCGAACCCUCGGUGGCGAGUGGCGAACGGGUGAGUAAUACAUCGGAACGUGCCCAGUCGUGGGGGAGUAACUACGCGAAAGCGUAGCUAAUACCGCAUACGAUCUACGGAUGAAAGCGGGGGACCGUAAGGCCUCGCGCGAUUGGAGCGGCCGAUGGCAGAUUAGGUAGUUGGUGGGGUAAAGG